Molecule: non-coding RNA, 32 nt
Filed under: Rattus norvegicus (Norway rat)
Lineage: Eukaryota; Metazoa; Chordata; Mammalia; Rodentia; Muridae
Source: RNAcentral
UGGCAUGCAAGUCAUGAGCUUCUGUUUGCUUU